RNAcentral lists this ribosomal RNA (269 nucleotides) under uncultured archaeon. RNAcentral describes it as "partial 16S ribosomal RNA". It matches the Rfam family "Archaeal small subunit ribosomal RNA", at positions 478 to 747 of the family's 1478-position model. The record is from RNAcentral.
AGCUCCUCGAGUGGUAGGGAUAAUUAUUGGGCUUAAAGCGUCCGUAGCCGGCCUGAUAAGUCCCCCGUUAAAUCCAGCGACCUAAUCGUUGGCCUGCGGGGGAUACUGUCAAGCUAGGGGGCGGAAGAGGCCGAUGGUAUUUUUGGGGUAGGGGUGAAAUCCUAUAAUCCCAAGAGGACCACCAGUGGCGAAGGCGAUCGGCUAGUACGUGCUCGACGGUGAUGGACGAAAGCUGGGGGAGCGAACCGGAUUAGAUACCCGAGUAGUCC